UUCUUAUUAUCUUUUGCUUGUGGUUUCUCAGCAACGAGUCACGUCCGAUGUAGAGAAGAGAAAGGCAGCCUGAUGGAUCGAGAAAAUUACAGAAAAUAAAGAAGACAUCGGUCUAGCAGAGAGGAUGUCAAGAAGGCAGCGUCAACACUUACUUCUGGUGAUCGGGAUUGAAGAUCGAAUGUUUGGAUAUAGAAUAUAAGCAACAUCCAAGAGUCAACGUCCAUGAUCGACAAUUGAAGAUGUUCAAUCCAAAUUGAGGGAAUGGAUGGGGGCCAGAGUCAACUGGGGGUGAUUAUGUUUAUAUUGCAACUAGCGAAGGCAAGAACAAGGAACAAGGAAGCUGAAACGAGAAAAGAGAUGAUGGAAUUAUGAUUUGGGGGGUUUGUUUUUUUCAAUUUAAUGUCGUUCAAGAAAAAAAUAUAAUCUGUUUUGAUCAAAUAGAACCAAUCAAACUAUUUAAUGCAUAUACUGCAAAAUCAUAUGGUUGGAAAUUGACUUAACAGAUGACAGAAAGCAAGAAGGAGGAACAGAGCAUAGUUGUUAAAAAGAUACCUGAUACCAAGGUCGGAAGAAACUUGGACAGUUUGUCUUCAGAUGAAGAUCAUCACUAUGUAUGCUUCAGAAAUCGGAAUGAAUGCCACCGUCUCCAAAACCUCAAAGCAAAGAUAUGAAAAACAGAGGUCGAUUUUUCAUAUGUUUUUUUUGAAAGAAAGAUGAAUAUGGAUGUGGACCAACUAUAACGGUGCCUAAAUUAGGUAUUAGAUUUUAAAUAUAAGAGUAUUUAUCAGGUUAUAUAUAAAAUACAGCUAUAAAUGACAAAGCAUGUUCCAGCG
Molecule: non-coding RNA, 833 nt
Organism: Lactuca sativa (garden lettuce)
Lineage: Eukaryota; Viridiplantae; Streptophyta; Magnoliopsida; Asterales; Asteraceae
Source: RefSeq, a predicted model, not a curated record